Molecule: ribosomal RNA, 301 nt
Filed under: uncultured bacterium
Lineage: Bacteria
Description: partial 16S ribosomal RNA
Rfam family: Bacterial small subunit ribosomal RNA
Source: RNAcentral
CAGUAGCCGCGGUAAUACGAAGGGGGCCAGCGUUGUUCGGAAUUAUUGGGCGUAAAGGGUGCGUAGGCGGCUUGACAAGUCUUGUGUGAAAUCUAUGGGCUCAACCCAUAGUCUGCACGGGAAACUGUCGGGCUUGAGAAUGGGAGAGGUGAGUGGAAUUUCCGGUGUAGCGGUGAAAUGCGUAGAUAUCGGAAGGAACACCUGUGGCGAAAGCGGCUCACUGGACCAUUUCUGACGCUGAUGCACGAAAGCUAGGGGAGCAAACAGGAUUAGAUACCCGUGUAGUCCCUGUCUCUUAUAC